GAUGAACGCUGGCGGCGUGCCUAAUACAUGCAAGUCGAACGAACAGACGAGGAGUUUGCUCCUCUGACGUUUGCCGCGCACGUGUGAAUCACAUGUGUAUCCUCUCCCUAUAAGACUGGGAUAUCUUCGAAAAACCGGCUCUAAUACCAUAUGAUAUAUUGCACCGCAUGGUUCAUUAGUAAAAGACGGCUGUGCUGUCACUUAUAGAUGGAUCCGCGCCGCAUUAGCUAGUUGGUAAGGUAACGGCUUACCAAGGCAACGAUGCGUAGCCGACGGGAGAGGGGGAUAGCCAACCUGGGAAUGGGGCCAGGGUCCAGACGCCUACGGGAGGCACCAGAAGGGAACCUUGCGCAAUGGGCGAAAGCCUGACGGAGCAAGCCGGCGGGGGAGAUGAAGGUCUCGGGAGCGGAAAACCCGGUUAUGGGGGAAGAACAGAUUUGGAAGGAACUGUGCACGUCGUGACGGUACCUGAUCAGAAAGCCACGGCUAACUACGUG
Molecule: ribosomal RNA, 497 nt
Filed under: uncultured bacterium
Lineage: Bacteria
Description: partial 16S ribosomal RNA
Rfam family: Bacterial small subunit ribosomal RNA
Source: RNAcentral